Molecule: ribosomal RNA, 366 nt
Filed under: Triticum aestivum (bread wheat)
Lineage: Eukaryota; Viridiplantae; Streptophyta; Magnoliopsida; Poales; Poaceae
Description: partial small subunit ribosomal RNA
Source: RNAcentral
AUGCGUGAUCAGGUCGGCAUGGACCUGGACGGCUUCCCACUUGACCACGAGUUUCCGGACGACUACGGGCAAGAGGAAGAGGACGAGUGCGACAUCGAAGUGGACCCUUUUUUCGAGGACGAGCUCGCCAACCAAGCCGCCGGUCCAAAGCCGAAGCGCAAGAGCAAGCGCACGAAGGCAUACACGGCGGCCGAGGACAAGCUUCUUUGCGAGUGUUGGCGAGACAUUGGACAAGAGACCAAGACGGGCGCCGAACAAAAGCAUUCAACUUUUUGGAUUCGUGUCCACCGGGAGUUUCAUGAGCGCAAGAAGUUUCCGCCUUACCAAAUUGUGAGCACGCGCGGGUGGGUGUCCAUUUCGAAGCGA